UUGGAAGUAAAAAGUCGUAACAAGGUCUCCGUUGGUGAACCAGCGGAGGGAUCAUUACCGAGUUUACAACUCCCAAACCCAAUGUGAACGUUACCAAACUGUUGCCUCGGCGGGAUCUCUGCCCCGGGUGCGUCGCAGCCCCGGACCAAGGCGCCCGCCGGAGGACCAACCAAAACUCUUAUUGUAUACCCCCUCGCGGGUUUUUUUAUAAUCUGAGCCUUCUCGGCGCCUCUCGUAGGCGUUUCGAAAAUGAAUCAAAACUUUCAACAACGGAUCUCUUGGUUCUGGCAUCGAUGAAGAACGCAGCGAAAUGCGAUAAGUAAUGUGAAUUGCAGAAUUCAGUGAAUCAUCGAAUCUUUGAACGCACAUUGCGCCCGCCAGUAUUCUGGCGGGCAUGCCUGUCCGAGCGUCAUUUCAACCCUCGAACCCCUCCGGGGGGUCGGCGUUGGGGAUCGGCCCUGCCUUGGCGGUGGCCGUCUCCGAAAUACAGUGGCGGUCUCGCCGCAGCCUCUCCUGCGCAGUAGUUUGCACACUCGCAUCGGGAGCGCGGCGCGUCCACAGCCGUUAAACACCCAACUUCUGAAAUGUUGACCUCGGAUCAGGUAGGAAUACCCGCUGAACUUAAGCAUAUCAAUAAAGCGG
RNAcentral lists this ribosomal RNA (642 nucleotides) under Trichoderma harzianum. RNAcentral's name for it is "eukaryotic LSU rRNA". The stretch from base 259 to 412 matches the Rfam family "5.8S ribosomal RNA". The record is from RNAcentral. Lineage: Eukaryota; Fungi; Ascomycota; Sordariomycetes; Hypocreales; Hypocreaceae.